Molecule: unclassified non-coding RNA, 205 nt
Filed under: soil metagenome
Description: partial contains 5.8S ribosomal RNA, internal transcribed spacer 2, and large subunit ribosomal RNA
Source: RNAcentral
AACACUGUUAACCUGCGGUACCUGCGGAGGGAUCAUUACCGAGUUUACAACUCCCAAACCCCUGUGAACAUACCACUUGUUGCCUCGGCGGAUCAGCCCGCUCCCGGUAAAACGGGACGGCCCGCCAGAGGACCCCUAAACUCUGUUUCUAUAUGUAACUUCUGAGUAAAACCAUAAAUAAAUCAAAACUUUUAGCAAUGGAUCU